Molecule: transfer RNA, 79 nt
Filed under: Marmota monax (woodchuck)
Lineage: Eukaryota; Metazoa; Chordata; Mammalia; Rodentia; Sciuridae
Description: tRNA.Val
Source: RNAcentral
UGGGCUAUAGCUCAGUUGGUAGAGUGCUUGCCUCACAUACACAAGUCCUUGGGUUCAAUCUGGCACCACAAAAGCCAAA